GUCUAUUUGAAAUUAUAUAUAGUCUAGCCUGCUCACUGACAAAGAUGUUAAAUAGCCGCGGUAUUUUGACCGUGCAAAGGUAGCAUAAUCAUUAGUUUUUUAAUUGGAAACUUGUAUGAAUGGUUGGACAAAGAAAAAGCUGUCUCUUUUAUUAAAAUUGAAAUUAACUUCUAAGUGAAAAGGCUUAGAUUUUCUAGAGGGACGAUAAGACCCUAUAAAGCUUUAUAAAUUAAGUAAGUUAGAACAAAUUUUAUAGAAUAAAGGUAAAUUUAAUAUAUUUAUUUGGUUGGGGCGACAAUGGUAUAAAUUAAAUAACUGCUAUUAAAAUUAAACAAUUAUAUUUGAUUAAAAUUAUAAUUGAUCCUUAUUAUGGAUUAAAAGAUCAAGUUACUUUAGGGAUAACAGCGUAAUUUCUUUUAAGAGUUCUUAUCAAAGAAGAAGUUUGCGACCUCGAUGUUGAAUUAAAAUGUCUUUAUAGUGCAGAAGCUAUAAAAGAAGGUCUGUUCGACCUUUAAUUUUUU
This 521-nucleotide ribosomal RNA is filed under the name Scylla tranquebarica (purple mud crab). RNAcentral describes it as "partial 16S ribosomal RNA". It matches the Rfam family "Bacterial large subunit ribosomal RNA", at positions 1831 to 2597 of the family's 2925-position model. The record is from RNAcentral. Lineage: Eukaryota; Metazoa; Arthropoda; Malacostraca; Decapoda; Portunidae.